GACGAACGCUGGCGGCGUGCUUAACACAUGCAAGUCGAACGGUAAGGCCCUGCUUUUGUGGUGUGCUCGAGUGGCGAACGGGUGAGUAACACGUGAGUAACCUGCCCUUUAGUUUGGGAUAACUUUUGGAAACUGUGGCUAAUACCGCAUAGGAGCUCCUGCUGCAUGGUGGGUGUUGGAAAGUUUCGGCGGUUGGGGAUGGACUGGCGGCUUCUUAGCUUGUUGGUGGGGUAGUGGUUUACAAAGGCUUUGACGGGUAGCCGUCCUGAGAGGGUGACCGGCCACAUAGGGACUGAGAUACGGCCAAGACUCCUACGGGAGGAAGCAGUGGGGAAUAUUGCAAAAUGGGCGGAAGCCUGAUGCAGCAACGCCGGGUGCGAGAUGACGGCCUUAGGGGUAGAAACCGCUUUCGCCUGUGACGAAGCGGGAGUGACGGUAAUGGGUAAAGAAGCAACGGCUAACUACGUG
Molecule: ribosomal RNA, 468 nt
Filed under: uncultured bacterium
Lineage: Bacteria
Description: partial 16S ribosomal RNA
Rfam family: Bacterial small subunit ribosomal RNA
Source: RNAcentral